This is a non-coding RNA of Myodes glareolus (Bank vole), 651 nucleotides long. The record is from RefSeq and is a predicted model, not a curated record. Lineage: Eukaryota; Metazoa; Chordata; Mammalia; Rodentia; Cricetidae.
GAAACAGCAUAGUGUGUGGGUUUAGCAGACACAGUGAUUCUGACGAGCAGUUUGGCCCACUACAAGAGCCCCCGAGGCCAACAGUUUUCAACCCAAUCAUGCCUGAGUCUCCCGAGGAAAGAGGAAAUCCAGCCCUAAAGCCCAAACCCCCAAAAUUCGGAGCCAGCUGCUCAGGAUGGACCCUCACACACCUGUGUUGUCAAACCUCCCCAGGUGAUUCUAAUCAUUUGCAGUCCUCUUGAGACUUUGCUAGAGGCUUUCCUGUGUCCAGCUGCAAAACCGGAGCUCAGCAGCUUUCCAGAGCAUUGCUUUCCCUCCUGCAGAGUGAAGAGUCCUGCCAUCCAGGCCAGCCCAGCGCUAUCUACGCCAACAGGAACAGCUCUCUUCCCCACUCCACGGAGGACAAGUGACCACCUCUCUUUGAUCCCAUUUUUCCUGUCACUCGCUUACGUGAGCACUGGGUAGUCUUCAGUAGACAGCAGACUUCUCGAGGAAGGAACUACAGCUUGUUUAACUUUGUACCUCCCGUAAUACUUCAUGCAUAGUAAGCCUUCAACAUGUUGGAUUGAUGUUCCGUUGUUUUGUGGGCCCCACGUGGUCUAGAACAACACUGAGAGCGUAGUAAACACUUAAUAAACAUUUCCUGACCGA